CGCACAUUGCGCCCGCCAGUAUUCUGGCGGGCAUGCCUGUCCGAGCGUCAUUUCAACCCUCAAGCCCCCGGGCUUGGUGUUGGAGAUCGGCGAGCCCUCCGGGGCGCGCCGUCUCCCAAAUAUAGUGGCGGUCCCGCUGUAGCUUCCUCUGCGUAGUAGCACACCUCGCACUGGGAAACAGCGUGACCACGCCGUAAAACCCCCCACUUCUGAAAGGUUGACCUCGGAUCAGGUAGGAAUACCCGCUGAACUUAA
This 255-nucleotide unclassified non-coding RNA is filed under the name Ilyonectria liriodendri. RNAcentral describes it as "partial contains 5.8S ribosomal RNA, internal transcribed spacer 2, and large subunit ribosomal RNA". Lineage: Eukaryota; Fungi; Ascomycota; Sordariomycetes; Hypocreales; Nectriaceae. The record is from RNAcentral.